This 847-nucleotide ribosomal RNA is filed under the name uncultured bacterium. Its description in RNAcentral is "bacterial SSU rRNA". It matches the Rfam family "Bacterial small subunit ribosomal RNA", at positions 51 to 888 of the family's 1533-position model. The record is from RNAcentral.
ACACAUGCAAGUCGAGGGGAAACGACAUCGAAAGCUUGCUUUUGAUGGGCGUCGACCGGCGCACGGGUGAGUAACGCGUAUCCAACCUGCCCACCACUUGGGGAUAACCUUGCGAAAGUAAGACUAAUACCCAAUGACGUCUCUAGAAGACAUCUGAAAGAGAUUAAAGAUUUAUCGGUGAUGGAUGGGGAUGCGUCUGAUUAGCUUGUUGGCGGGGUAACGGCCCACCAAGGCGACGAUCAGUAGGGGUUCUGAGAGGAAGGUCCCCCACAUUGGAACUGAGACACGGUCCAAACUCCUACGGGAGGCAGCAGUGAGGAAUAUUGGUCAAUGGGCGAGAGCCUGAACCAGCCAAGUAGCGUGCAGGAUGACGGCCCUAUGGGUUGUAAACUGCUUUUAUAAGGGAAUAAAGUGAGUCUCGUGAGACUUUUUGCAUGUACCUUAUGAAUAAGGACCGGCUAAUUCCGUGCCAGCAGCCGCGGUAAUACGGAAGGUCCGGGCGUUAUCCGGAUCUAUUGGGUUUAAAGGGAGCGUAGGCCGGAGAUUAAGCGUGUUGUGAAAUGUAGACGCUCAACGUCUGCACUGCAGCGCGGACUGGUUUCCUUGAGUACGCACAAAGUGGGCGGAAUUCGUGGUGUAGCGGUGAAACGCUUAGAUAUCACGAAGAACUCCGAUUGCGAAGGCAGCUCACUGGAGCGCAACUGACGCUGAAGCUCGAAAGUGCGGGUAUCGAACAGGAUUAGAUACCCUGGUAGUCCGCACGGUAAACGAUGGAUGCCCGCUGUUGGUCUGAAUAGGUCAGCGGCCAAGCGAAAGCAUUAAGCAUCCCACCUGGGGAGUACGCCGG